GAUGAACGCUGGCGGCGUGCCUAAUACAUGCAAGUCGAGCGAACGGACGAGAAGCUUGCUUCUCUGAUGUUAGCGGCGGACGGGUGAGUAACACGUGGAUAACCUACCUAUAAGACUGGGAUCACUUCGGGAAACCGUAGCUAAUACCGGAUCAUAUUUUGAACCGCAUGGUUCAAAAGUGAAAGACGGUCUUGCUGUCACUUAUAGAUGGUUCCGCGCUGCAUUAGCUAGUUGGUAAGGUAACGGCUUACCAAGGCAACGAUGCAUAGCCGACCUGAGAGGGUGAUCGGCCACACUGGAACUGAGACACGGUCCAGACUCCUACGGGAGGCAGCAGUAGGGAAUCUUCCGCAAUGGGCGAAAGCCUGACGGAGCAACGCCGCGUGAGUGAUGAAGGUCUUCGGAUCGUAAAACUCUGUUAUUAGGGAAGAACAUAUGUGUAAGUAACUGUGCACAUCUUGACGGUACCUAAUCAGAAAGCCACGGCUAACUACGUG
Molecule: ribosomal RNA, 497 nt
Filed under: uncultured bacterium
Lineage: Bacteria
Description: partial 16S ribosomal RNA
Rfam family: Bacterial small subunit ribosomal RNA
Source: RNAcentral